GUGCCAGCAGCCGCGGUAAUACGAAGGGUGCUAGCGUUGCUCGGAAUUACUGGGCGUAAAGCGCACGUAGGCGGAUCUUUAAGUCAGGGGUGAAAUCCCGGAGCUCAACUCCGGAACUGCCUUUGAUACUGGGGAUCUUGAGUUCGAGAGAGGUGAGUGGAACUGCGAGUGUAGGGGUGAAAUUCGUAGAUAUUCGCAAGAACACCAGUGGCGAAGGCGGCCAACUAGUCCGGAACUGACGCUGAGGUGCGAAAGCGUGGGGAGCAAACAGGAUUAGAUACCCUAGUAGUCC
This 292-nucleotide ribosomal RNA is filed under the name uncultured bacterium. RNAcentral describes it as "partial 16S ribosomal RNA". It matches the Rfam family "Bacterial small subunit ribosomal RNA", at positions 505 to 796 of the family's 1533-position model. The record is from RNAcentral.